RNAcentral lists this ribosomal RNA (492 nucleotides) under uncultured bacterium. Its description in RNAcentral is "partial 16S ribosomal RNA". It matches the Rfam family "Bacterial small subunit ribosomal RNA", at positions 29 to 507 of the family's 1533-position model. The record is from RNAcentral.
AGUGAACGCUGGCGGUAGGCCUAACACAUGCAAGUCGAACGGCAGCACAGUAAGAGCUUGCUCUUACGGGUGGCGAGUGGCGGACGGGUGAGGAAUACAUCGGAAUCUACUUUUUCGUGGGGGAUAACGUAGGGAAACUUACGCUAAUACCGCAUACGACCUACGGGUGAAAGCAGGGGAUCUUCGGACCUUGCGCGAUUGAAUUAGCCGAUGUCGGAUUAGCUAGUUGGCGGGGUAAAGGCCCACCAAGGCGACGAUCCGUAGCUGGUCUGAGAGGAUGAUCAGCCACACUGGAACUGAGACACGGUACAGACUCCUACGGGAGGCAGCAGUGGGGAAUAUUGGACAAUGGGCGCAAGCAUGAUCCAGCCAUACCGCGUGGGUGAAGAAGGACUUCGGGUUGUAAAGCCCUUUUGUUGGGAAAGAAAAGCAGCAGGUUAAUACCCCGCUGUUCUGACGGUACCCAAAGAAUAAGCACCGGCUAACUUCGUG